RNAcentral lists this ribosomal RNA (472 nucleotides) under uncultured bacterium. RNAcentral describes it as "bacterial SSU rRNA". It matches the Rfam family "Bacterial small subunit ribosomal RNA", at positions 328 to 793 of the family's 1533-position model. The record is from RNAcentral.
GCUGUGCACUCCUACGGGAGGCAGCAGUGGGGAAUAUUGCACAAUGGGCGCAAGCCUGAUGCAGCCAUGCCGCGUGUAUGAAGAAGGCCUUCGGGUUGUAAAGUACUUUCAGCAGUGAGGAAGGUGGAUAUGUUAAUAGCAUAUUCAUUUGACGUUAGCUGCAGAAGAAGCACCGGCUAACUCCGUGCCAGCAGCCGCGGUAAUACGGAGGGUGCGAGCGUUAAUCGGAAUUACUGGGCGUAAAGCGCAUGCAGGUGGUUUGUUAAGUCAGAUGUGAAAGCCCGGGGCUCAACCUCGGAAUUGCAUUUGAAACUGGCAAACUAGAGUACUGUAGAGGGGGUAGAAUUUCAGGUGUAGCGGUGAAAUGCGUAGAGAUCUGAAGGAAUACCGGUGGCGAAGGCGGCCCCCUGGACAGAUACUGACACUCAGAUGCGAAAGCGUGGGGAGCAAACAGGAUUAGAUACCCUGGUAG